UAAAGUAGGGGAUGUGGGGCACCUUUUAUUCAUGAUAGCAUGCAUGCCUCAUGCGCAUAUCCAGUUCCACGCUCAAGAGACGGCGAGACACAAGCGAGACACCAGCGACCGAAGCGCGAAAGUACCACUGUCUCGACUCUCUCUGU
Molecule: non-coding RNA, 146 nt
Filed under: uncultured Isochrysis
Lineage: Eukaryota; Haptophyta; Isochrysidales
Source: RNAcentral